RNAcentral lists this ribosomal RNA (492 nucleotides) under uncultured bacterium. Its description in RNAcentral is "partial 16S ribosomal RNA". It matches the Rfam family "Bacterial small subunit ribosomal RNA", at positions 29 to 507 of the family's 1533-position model. The record is from RNAcentral.
AGUGAACGCUGGCGGUAGGCCUAACACAUGCAAGUCGAACGGCAGCACAGUAAGAGCUUGCUCUUACGGGUGGCGAGUGGCGGACGGGUGAGGAAUACAUCGGAAUCUACUUUUUCGUGGGGGAUAACGUAGGGAAACUUACGCUAAUACCGCAUACGACCUACGGGUGAAAGCAGGGGAUCUUCGGACCUUGCGCGAUUGAAUGAGCCGAUGUCGGAUUAGCUAGUUGGCGGGGUAAAGGCCCACCAAGGCGACGAUCCGUAGCUGGUCUGAGAGGGUGAUCGGCCACAGUGGGACUGAGACACGGCCCAAACUCCUACGGGAGGCAGCAGUGGGGAAUUUUGGGCAAGGGGCGCAAGCCUGACCGAGCAACGCCGCGUGAGUGAAGAAGGCUUUCGGAUUGUAAAACCCUUUUGUUGGAAAAGAAAAAGAGCUAGAUAAACCCUCAGUGUCCUGACGGUACCAAACAAGAAAGCCACGGCUAACUUCGUG